GGGUGCUCCGCAGUUCCUCAAUCUGACGCUGAAGAGUGCAGUUUUCACCCAACAGGGUUAUGUUCUCUGACUUUAUUGCGUUGUUUUUUUCCUCAUACUCCUGCUCUUUUGAGAACUUGUUUUCCAGGGCCUUGUGUUGCUUUUUGAGAUUGUUAUUCAGUCUGGUUGCAACUUUUAUAUCUGUCUUCAUCGAUUUGUAGUUGGAUUUGUAGGCGUCCAGAUCUUGGAGACUGUUCGUUAGACUGAGGAUAUUCUCUUUCCAUUCAUUGUUCUUCAGCUCCAAGGCGUCCUUUAGUUCCCUCUGUGUGUCGUAGCCAGACUUCCAUUCUUUUUGGCUCAGUAGCUUGCUGGUGGCCUCCGUGUGGGCCUUAAUCAACUGUUGCUGCUGUGCCUCCAGAACAGUCUGCUGGACUUUCAGUUGCGCUGCCAAAGACUCUCUGGACGUGAGCUCUUCAUUGAGGGCCUGGAUUUUCAGUUUUAAAUCAUUAUUUGUUCCCUCCAAAGCGUCCUUACGUUGUUUUGCGUCCUGAUUUUCACGCCGUUGGUUUUCAACUUUCAGUUUCAUUUCGCUCUCUUCAUCCUGCAGAUCGAAAAGCUGUAUUUCUAACCCCUGUGUCUUUGCAAUCAGCACCUUAUUCUUACAUUCCAGAUGUUUGUAAUCCGACUCAAUGGAAUCUUUUUGGGCGGUCAGGAAUUCCACCGUACGUUCCAUAGACUUCUUCUUCUCAUUAAGAUGAUGGGCGUCUCGUUUACUGGCCUCUGAAAAAAGGUUAAAUUCAUUGGUUACCUUUUGCAGUUCGGUCUCCAGGAGCUUAACUUUUCUCUCGUACUCAUCGUGUUCCUGUGUUAGGGACGCAGCGUUUGCCUCCUCGCGUUUUAAGUGCUCCAACUUUUUCUGCUGCUUUUCCAGUUGUUCUUGCAGCUUUUCAUGUUUGGACGACAGUUCUUGGAUUGAGGCUUUUUUUUCUUUGUACAUUGAGUGAAAAUGUUGAUGAUUUUUGACCUUAUCAAUGACACUCUUGACCUCUUUUUGAAGGGUUUCACAUUUUCUCCUAGCCAUGCCUUCCUCCUGCCUGUGUUGCUCAUACUUGUCGUUUUUAACCACCAAAGAUUCCCAUCCUGCGACCUUUAUUCCGCUCAUGCAAAUUUUGAUGCGCAUAGACUUGAGAACUUCGGAGAUCUCCCUCAGGUUCAUAUAUUCUGCGUUGUACUGUUCCGCUGACUCUGCUUGUCCCUGGUCUGAAACCGGCAGAUUUGUUGUAUGUCCUUGAGCCAUUUCUCCUGUUUGAUUUAAAUGUUGGAUAAAAUACUUUAAAUCGUUCUAUUGUCAGUGUUCAAAAGAUUAUGAACUGAGGCAGGACCAGGAGCAAAAUGCGUGCAGCUGUCAAGGACUCCAGAGGAGUUAUGAGGAAUGUUCACAUCAAAGAGCAAUGACGUAGGGAUGUUCACGUCAAAGAGCAAUGACGUAGGGAUGUUCGCAUCAAAGAGCAAUGACGUAGGGAUGUUCACGUCAAAGAGCAAUGACGUAGGGACGUGUUGUGUUCCGAUUGGCUGAAAGGUAGCCGUUCCCUUGGCAACCGGGAACUACCUAUGAUGCGCUCGCAAGCCCCGCCCCUCCCUCCCCGUGCUCACGCUGAGCGCCAAACGGCUGCAGCAUCAGACACACAGGUGAUGACGGUGUUCGUGGAAUCCCUCUGUAGUAGUUCACAUAUACUACGGUCAUGUUGGCCAUAGAUUAAGAGCCGUUUGACGGAAUAACUUUCGCGGAGAAACUCGAGGUGAAAGAGGUGGACCGGGAUCAGCCGGACCUCACGAUCAGACAACGGACCGGUGUGAAAGGGAAGCCGAGGUUUCUACGCCGGGAGGUUUAGCUAGUUAGCUACGUGCUAACCGCCGGUCCGCAUGACGUCACCGCGCUAAAGUUAACAUCGCUGCCCAGCUGCGACGCACACAGGACCGCGGUGAGGACACACAACCAGGACGUGGAUGAAAACAGGCACAUUUUAACCAAAAUAGUUCGUUGUGUAAAGUUUUGUGGGGCUUUUGAGUUGGUCUUUCCUCAACACACUGAUGUUUCCCCAACAAACUAGGUUCAUAGGUGCAUCUAAAUAUAUACGUAUAUAUUUUUUUUUCUUCUAAUUUUAUAUAAAUAUAUUUAUACUGUAAUAUAAUAUAUUUAUAUUGGAUAUUUAUAGCAGUCAUGGUAGUUAUCAUAUUCUGGAUAUUGUUUUAUAAGUUAUAUUUAUAUAUUCAUGUAUGUACUGAAUUGUUUGAAUAAGAUAAGAUGUCCUUAUUAUGUUGAACUUGUAGUAGUCCACAUAUACUACGGUAAUGUUGGCCAUAGUAUUAAGGUAAUUACGGUAUCUGUAUGAGCCACUUCACUAUCUGUAUACCGGCAUUCGAGUUAUAAGUAAACGGAAAACAGACGUAUCUUCUCCCUGUCUCCGUGUGCCCUUCCGGAACGGAAAGGACCUCUGACCUAUGGAGUGCAAAAAGGUCAACGCCAAGUCAAGGUGCAUGUGGAUCACCUUCGGGCAUCUAAAGCUUCAACACGUCCAAGCAGAAUGGAUGACAGUGAUUUCCUGGACUGCACAGCAAGCUCUGAGGACCAAGCAGAAAGCACGGAGGAAGAAGAUGCAGCUGCUAGUGCAUCUCCGGAAGCUCAACCGGAGCGCCGCUAUCCUGAAAGACAGCCAACAGCACCAGAAAGACUGAAUCUCUAAAUGUUCAUGUAGAGAUAAUGACUUAUUUAGUCAGUAAUUAUGUUCAGACUGCUUACUGUUAUGAUUAUGAAGUUUAGGGUAUGUUACUGUUAAUUGAACCCUGCAUAUGUAGUUUAAGGAAUGACUAAUGCAAUGAAGUAUGUAGUCUGGCUAUGUAUGUUAUAAUCUAGGAGGGAGGAGUGUAGUAGUUCACAUAUACUACGGUAAUGUUGGCCAUAGUAUUAAGGUAAUUACGGUAAUUAUCUUCUCCCUGUACGUGCGCCCUUCCUUCACCUACAAAUAUUACAAAACUGUUUAUUUAACUGCAAAGUAAUGAUGUGUAUUUGAUACCCUUUUUUGCGUUGAAUCAUACAGGGAUGUUUACUGAAACUGAUUGGCUGGCAAAAAUAAAAUAAAUAAUUUUAAUUUUAAUAUUAAAUAAUAAUUUAAUAUAAUUUUUUAUAAAUAAAUAUACGUAAGUAUAUGUAUGAAGAAGGUUCUCGAGGCACCGGAGGGGGGGUGUGGUAACUGACGGUCGCUGGAGGGAGGCCUUGUUCUGGGUGCAAACUGGACAAGCGGCCACAAACCCCUCCGUGUCCCUCUCAAGUGAUGGCCACCAGAAGCGCUGCCUGAAGAAGCAGACCAUCCGCCUGACCUCUGGCCGACAUGUGAUUUAAGGGGCAUGUAUCAAGGGCAUCCUUUUUUAAUUUGGUACAACCGAUUUAAUAAAGAAUAGUUGAUAGCUUAAGUAAUUAAGUGAAGUAAGUAAAGUCAUUUAAGAACCUUUUAGGCUGUCUUGUGGCUGUUUUUUUUUAACACUAUAUAGAUAUUAGGCUGCAAAGCCAUUGUAUUAUUGUUUGAUUAAACAUUAGGGUUUUUGAAUCGCUCUUAGUCUGGACUCUCCCCUGAGACCUGCUGUCUUUUAUGUGGGAAAUCCAUAGAUGGAGGAAAACCCCACAGUUGAACCCAAUUCGAUUUGUGUUUUGUUUUUUGUUUUUUAAUGGGAGAAAAUGGGGUGGCGAGUUGCGUUUUUUUUUUUUAAAUAGAAAAUAAAAGAUAACAUUUUAAAAUAAAAAUAAAUAAAUAAAAAAUAUAACUUUUUAAAAUAAAAUAAAAAAAUACAAAGAAUAAAAAAAUAAAAAAAAUAAAAUAUAACUUUUUAAAAUAAAAUAAAUAAAAUAAAAUAUAACUUUUUAAAAUAAAAUAAAUAAAAUAUAAUAUAACUUUUUAAAAUAAAAUAAAAAAAAUAAAAUCUAACUUUUUGGCAUUUGAGGACCCAACUCCUCAUUCAAUCUGUAAUCAUGAAAAUGGGUAUAUUUUAUUCCCAGUGCUCCAGUAAGUGUUUUUUUCCAACGUCAUUGACAUUGGCGGAGCACAGCGCCUGAGACAUGAGGAAUCUUUUUUAUCUCAUUCAUUUCUUUCUUUCUUUGGCGAAAUGCAAGGCCGCAAAUGAAGAUGAGGGGAUUUCUGUAUCUGCGCAUAUACCCUGAACCCGGUCAUUUAGCCAAUGUUCGGAUAACCUCACACAGCCGGUUUGACAUAUCAAUAGUAACAACUUGUGAAGGUAGUCCAACAGUUUCAUUCGGUCGUCAUUGGAAACUAGUUAUACAUUAUGCAAGGUAGACACACAUGCCCCCCUCUAUACUUUGUAUUAAAGGCAUGGCUAGUGGUAAAAAAUAGCAUCUGUUAAAUAUAUUUAUGAUAUUUUAAUAUGAUAUUAUGUUAUAUAUUAAAUGUAAUGCUAUAUUUAUAAUAUUAGUUCUUUAUUAUGUUAAAUGGUAUUAGAAAUAUGGAAUGCGAUGCUAUUUUAUUUUAUUUCUACGGUAUUAAGUUGAAUUAUAUUAGAAAUAUGGAAUACAAUGCUAUUUUAUGAUAUUAG
This is a long non-coding RNA of Gasterosteus aculeatus aculeatus (three-spined stickleback), 4581 nucleotides long. The record is from Ensembl. NCBI's taxonomy places the organism in Eukaryota, Metazoa, Chordata, Actinopteri, Perciformes, Gasterosteidae.